Long non-coding RNA from Hibiscus syriacus, 151 nucleotides. RefSeq lists it as uncharacterized. The record is from RefSeq and is a predicted model, not a curated record. Lineage: Eukaryota; Viridiplantae; Streptophyta; Magnoliopsida; Malvales; Malvaceae. The transcript is spliced from 3 exons.
CGGUUGUAACUAAUGACCCUUCAUGUUACUAAUUAACCCUCCCCAUGUUAAUUAGCAUACCAUGCUUGCACUAACUUACAAAAGAAAAUGUUAGGUUUUAUUACACACUUCAAUCAGUAAUGGAUUUUGCAGCAGUGGAACCCACUUACAG